This 278-nucleotide unclassified non-coding RNA is filed under the name Ascomycota sp. RNAcentral describes it as "partial contains small subunit ribosomal RNA, internal transcribed spacer 1, and 5.8S ribosomal RNA". The stretch from base 1 to 47 matches the Rfam family "Eukaryotic small subunit ribosomal RNA", at positions 1785 to 1831 of the family's 1831-position model. Lineage: Eukaryota; Fungi; Ascomycota. The record is from RNAcentral.
AAAGUCGUAACAAGGUUUCCGUAGGUGAACCUGCGGAAGGAUCAUUACAGAGUUAGGGUCUUCACAGGCCCGAUCUCCCAACCCUUUGUUUAUUUAACCUUUUGUUGCUUCGGCGGGCCCGUCCUCUCACGAGGACCGCCGGAGGAUUUGUCGAGAGACGUCCUCUGGUCCGCGCCCGCCGGUGGCCAACCACUUAAACUCUGAAUGAAUCGUGUCUAUUCUAAGUCAUUGACAAAAUACAAAAAGCAAAACUUUCAACAACGGAUCUCUUGGUUCUG